AGCGAACGCUGGCGGCAGGCUUAACACAUGCAAGUCGAGCGGACCUUUCGGGGUCAGCGGCGGACGGGUGAGUAACGCGUGGGAACGUGCCUUCCGGUUCGGAAUAACCCUGGGAAACUAGGGCUAAUACCGGAUACGCCCUUAUAGGGAAAGGUUUACUGCCGGACGAUCGGCCCGCGUCUGAUUCGCUAGUUGGUGGGGUAACGGCCUACCAAGGCGACGAUCAGUAGCUGGUCUGAGAGGAGGAUCAGCCACACUGGGACUGAGACACGGCCCAGACUCCUACGGGAGGCAGCAGUGGGGAAUAUUGGACAAUGGGCGCAAGCCUGAUCCAGCCAUGCCGCGUGAGUGAUGAAGGCCUUAGGGUUGUAAAGCUCUUUUAUCCGGGACGAUAAUGACGGUACCGGAGGAAUAAGCCCCGGCUAACUUCGCG
RNAcentral lists this ribosomal RNA (433 nucleotides) under uncultured bacterium. RNAcentral's name for it is "partial 16S ribosomal RNA". It matches the Rfam family "Bacterial small subunit ribosomal RNA", at positions 29 to 507 of the family's 1533-position model. The record is from RNAcentral.